AUUGAACGCUGGCGGCAGGCCUAACACAUGCAAGUCGAGCGGAUGAAGGGAGCUUGCUCCUGGAUUCAGCGGCGGACGGGUGAGUAAUGCCUAGGAAUCUGCCUGGUAGUGGGGGAUAACGUCCGGACACGGGCGCUAAUACCGCAUACGUCCUGAGGGAGAAAGUGGGGGAUCUUCGGACCUCACGCUAUCAGAUGAGCCUAGGUCGGAUUAGCUAGUUGGUGGGGUAAAGGCCUACCAAGGCGACGAUCCGUAACUGGUCUGAGAGGAUGAUCAGUCACACUGGAACUGAGACACGGUCCAGACUCCUACGGGAGGCAGCAGUGGGGAAUAUUCGACAAUGGGCGAAAGCCUGAUCCAGCCAUGCCGCGUGUGUGAAGAAGGUCUUCGGAUUGUAAAGCACUGUAAGUUGGGAGGAAGGGAAGUAAGUUAAUCCCUUGCUGUUUUGACGUUACCAACAGAAUAAGCACCGGCUAACUUCGUG
RNAcentral lists this ribosomal RNA (484 nucleotides) under uncultured bacterium. RNAcentral describes it as "partial 16S ribosomal RNA". It matches the Rfam family "Bacterial small subunit ribosomal RNA", at positions 30 to 507 of the family's 1533-position model. The record is from RNAcentral.